RNAcentral lists this small RNA (67 nucleotides) under Acididesulfobacillus acetoxydans. RNAcentral describes it as "Peptococcaceae bacterium INE non-coding RNA". The record is from RNAcentral. Lineage: Bacteria; Bacillati; Bacillota; Clostridia; Eubacteriales; Peptococcaceae.
GUUUCAAUUCCUCAUAGGCAGGCUAUCGGCGGAAUUUGCCUGAGAUUGCCAGUGACUGGAUAGGCAG